AUCCGCUUAUUGCGCGGCGAAAAACCUUACACACAGUGUUUUUUGUUAUUACAAGAACUUUUGCUUUGGUCUGGACUAGAAAUAGUUUGGGCCAGAGGUUUACUGAACUAAACUUCAAUAUUUAUAUUGAAUUGUUAUUUAUUUAAUUGUCAAUUUGUUGAUUAAAUUCAAAAAAUCUUCAAAACUUUCAACAACGGAUCUCUUGGUUCUCGCAUCGAUGAAGAACGCAGCGAAAUGCGAUAAGUAAUAUGAAUUGCAGAUUUUCGUGAAUCAUCGAAUCUUUGAACGCACAUUGCGCCCUCUGGUAUUCCAGAGGGCAUGCCUGUUUGAGCGUCAUUUCUCUCUCAAACCUUCGGGUUUGGUAUUGAGUGAUACUCUUAGUUGAACUAGGCGUUUGCUUGAAAUGUAUUGGCAUGAGUGGUACUGGAUAGUGCUAUAUGACUUUCAAUGUAUUAGGUUUAUCCAACUCGUUGAAUAGUUUAAUGGUAUAUUUCUCGGUAUUCUAGGCUCGGCCUUACAAUAUAACAAACAAGU
This 534-nucleotide small RNA is filed under the name Debaryomyces hansenii. RNAcentral describes it as "eukaryotic LSU rRNA". The stretch from base 183 to 336 matches the Rfam family "5.8S ribosomal RNA". Lineage: Eukaryota; Fungi; Ascomycota; Pichiomycetes; Serinales; Debaryomycetaceae. The record is from RNAcentral.